AGUCCUCUACCUCUCCUCUGACAGGACGUGAACCAGAGUCCUCUACCUCUCCUCUGACAGGACGUGAACCAGAGUCCUCUACCUCUCCUCUGACACCAUUGGUGACAUUUCAAGCCAGCUGUGUGAUUUUUAUGGUCAUCAUCGCCUGCUCUGACCACAUUGGUGAACCACCUGUUGUUAAAAUGUGGUGACGGAUGAAUUGAAAGACCUACAGAUGUCGUAACCUGCAGUGACCCUUCUCAGAACUCCUUGAAAAGGUCAACAUUCAUUGAGAAGAGUGAUUGAGGAUAGAGAAUGAGUAUG
This is a long non-coding RNA of Oncorhynchus tshawytscha (Chinook salmon), 303 nucleotides long. NCBI's taxonomy places the organism in Eukaryota, Metazoa, Chordata, Actinopteri, Salmoniformes, Salmonidae. The record is from Ensembl.